AACGAACGCUGGCGGCAGGCCUAACACAUGCCAGUCGAGCGCAUCCUUCGUGGUGGGUGGCAGACGGGUGUGUAACGUGUCGGACUCUUCCUUUUGCUACGGAAUAGUUCCGGUUAACUGGAAUUAAUAUCGUAUGUGCUCCUCUGGUGCAAGAUCCAACGUCCGGGGAGGAGCACGCGUUGGAUUAGCCUGUUGGUGGGGUAAGGGCCUACCACGGGUUCGAUCCAUAGCUGGUUAGAGAGGAUGGGCAGCCACAUUGGGACGGAGACGCGGCCGAAAAUCCUACGCGAGGCAGGAGUGGGGAAUAUAGGACAACGGGGGCAGGGCUGAACGAGCCAGGCCGGGUGAGUGAUGAAGGCGUUAGAGAAAAGAAGCUCUUUCACCGGAGAAGAUAAUGACGGUAUCCGGAGAAGAAGCCCCGGCUAACUUCGUG
This 433-nucleotide ribosomal RNA is filed under the name uncultured bacterium. Its description in RNAcentral is "partial 16S ribosomal RNA". It matches the Rfam family "Bacterial small subunit ribosomal RNA", at positions 29 to 507 of the family's 1533-position model. The record is from RNAcentral.